Molecule: long non-coding RNA, 303 nt
Filed under: Rhagoletis pomonella (apple maggot)
Lineage: Eukaryota; Metazoa; Arthropoda; Insecta; Diptera; Tephritidae
Description: uncharacterized LOC118735024, transcript variant X1
Source: RNAcentral
ACAGCUCUAUUUCUUGUAAGUUUUGGCGUACGAAAACGACAUCCUGUAAAAACCAGUAAAAUUAUUACUGGAUGGUGCGUACGCAAACAGGCCUAAGGUCUCAUUGGGAGACACCAGGAUUGAGUUGUGUAUGUCAAUGCCUAAAUACCUUCGUUGACUUAUUGACCAGAACCAUUGGCACCUUACUUUACAGCAACUUUGCAGAAUCAAUUGGUCCCCACGAAUGUCGACAAAUUCAACUAUUCGGCAUUUAAAGAAAUGUCGUUACCAGCGGAUGAACAAAAAUUUUUUCAAAUUUAAAAA